GGUGAACGCUGGCGGCGUGCCUAAUACAUGCAAGUCGAGCGAACGGACGAGAAGCUUGCUUCUCUGGUGUUAGCGGCGGACGGGUGAGUAACACGUGGAUAACCUACCUAUAAGACUGGGAUAACUUCGGGAAACCGGAGCUAAUACCGGAUGAUAUUUUGAACCGCAUGGUUCAAAAGUGAAAGACGGUCUUGCUGUCACUUAUAGAUGGAUCCGCGCUGCAUUAGCUAGUUGGUAAGGUAACGGCUUACCAAGGCAACGAUGCAUAGCCGACCUGAGAGGGUGAUCGGCCACACUGGAACUGAGACACGGUCCAGACUCCUACGGGAGGCAGCAGUAGGGAAUCUUCCGCAAUGGGCGAAAGCCUGACGGAGCAACGCCGCGUGAGUGAUGAAGGUCUUCGGAUCGUAAAACUCUGUUAUUAGGGAAGAACAUAUGUGUAAGUAACUGUGCACAUCUUGACGGUACCUAAUCAGAAAGCCACGGCUAACUACGUG
Molecule: ribosomal RNA, 497 nt
Filed under: uncultured bacterium
Lineage: Bacteria
Description: partial 16S ribosomal RNA
Rfam family: Bacterial small subunit ribosomal RNA
Source: RNAcentral